UAAGCUCCGUUGGUCGAGAGGGAAACAGCCCAGAUCGCCGGUUAAGGCCCCUAAGGGUGUACUAAGUGGAAAAGGAUGUGGGAUCGCGAAGACAGCCAGGAGGUUGGCUUAGAAGCAGCCAUCCUUGAAAGAGUGCGUAAUAGCUCACUGGUCGAGUGGUUCUGCGCCGACAAUGUAGUGGGGCUCAAGUACACCGCCGAAGCCGCGGCAGUCAACAAUUUUGUUUUGUUGGUUGGGUAGGGGAGCGUCGUGCACUGCUGUGAAGCACCUGGGUGACUUGAUGGUGUGGAGUGUGUGCGAGUGAGAAUGCAGGCAUGAGUAACGAAUGAAAAGUGGAAAACUUUUCCGCCGGAUGACUAAGGGUUCCUGGGUUAAGCUAAUCUUCCCAGGGUGAGUCGGGACCUAAGGCGAGGCCGACAGGCGUAGUCGAUGGAUAACCAGUUGAUAUUCUGGUACCCGUGUAUGUGCGCCCAGUGGUGAAUCAGUGGUACUAACCAUCCAUGGAUCUGCUGGUCAUGCUUUGUGUGUGGUUGGUGGUGAUGUGCGUGGGAUCUUCGUUGGUAGUAGCCAAGUGAUGGGGUGACGCAGUGAGGUAGCUGAGCCAUUUAUUGGAUUGUGGUGUAAGCGUGUGGCCCGUGGCAUAGGUAAAUCCGUGUCGCAUAUUUGGGUGAGGCGUGAUGCGUAGACCUUUGUGGUUGAUGUUGGUGAUCCUGUACUGUCGAGAAAAGCCUCUAGCGAGUGCAUAUAUGGCCCGUACCCAUAACCGACACAGGUGGUCAGGUAGAGAAUACUAAGGCGAUCGGGUGAACUGUGGUUAAGGAACUCGGCAAAUUGCCCCCGUAACUUCGGGAGAAGGGGGACCAUUGCUGGUGACCGACGUGGUUGAGCUGGUGGUGGUCGCAGAGAAUAGAGGGAAGCGACUGUUUAUUAAAAACACAGGUCCGUGCGAAAACGUGGAAGUUGAUGUAUACGGACUGACGCCUGCCCGGUGCUGGAAGGUUAAGAGGACCUGUUAGGGCAUUGUUGUCCGAAGCGGAGAAUUUAAGCCCCAGUAAACGGCGGUGGUAACUAUAACCAUCCUAAGGUAGCGAAAUUCCUUGUCGGGUAAGUUCCGACCUGCACGAAUGGCGUAACGACUUCCCUGCUGUCUCAACCACAGGCCCGGUGAAAUUGCAGUACGAGUAAAGAUGCUCGUUACGCGCGGCAGGACGAAAAGACCCCGGGACCUUCACUAUAGCUUGGUAUUGGUGUUUGGUUCGGUUUGUGUAGGAUAGGUGGGAGACUGUGAAGUGGUCACGCUAGUGGUUGUGGAGUCGAAAGUUGAAAUACCACUCUGAUCGGAUUGAGCACCUUAACCUUGGCCCAUGAUCUGGGUUGGGGACAGUGCCUGGUGGGUAGUUUAACUGGGGCGGUUGCCUCCUAAAGUGUAACGGAGGCGCCCAAAGGUUCCCUCAGCCUGGUUGGCAAUCAGGUGGUGAGUGUAAGUGCACAAGGGAGCUUGACUGUGAGACUGACAGGUCGAGCAGGGACGAAAGUCGGGACUAGUGAUCCGGCACCUACUUGUGGAAGUGGUGUCGCUCAACGGAUAAAAGGUACCCCGGGGAUAACAGGCUGAUCUUCCCCAAGAGUCCAUAUCGACGGGAUGGUUUGGCACCUCGAUGUCGGCUCGUCGCAUCCUGGGGCUGGAGUAGGUCCCAAGGGUUGGGCUGUUCGCCCAUUAAAGCGGCACGCGAGCUGGGUUUAGAACGUCGUGAGACAGUUCGGUCUCUAUCCGCCGCGCGCGUUGAAACUUGAAGAAGGCUGUCCCUAGUACGAGAGGACCGGGACGGACGUACCUCUAGUGUGCCAGUUGUCACGCCAGUGGCAGGGCUGGUUGGCUACGUACGGGAGGGAUAACCGCUGAAAGCAUCUAAGCGGGAAGCCUGUUUUGAGAUGAGGUUUCUUUUGAGGUUCCCUCUAGACUAGGGGGUUGAUAGGCCAGAUCUGGAAGCGUAGUAAUGCGUUAAGGUGACUGGUACUAAUUUUACCGAGUAAUAACA
RNAcentral lists this ribosomal RNA (2039 nucleotides) under Corynebacterium diphtheriae. RNAcentral's name for it is "bacterial LSU rRNA". It matches the Rfam family "Bacterial large subunit ribosomal RNA", at positions 999 to 2925 of the family's 2925-position model. The record is from RNAcentral. Lineage: Bacteria; Bacillati; Actinomycetota; Actinomycetes; Mycobacteriales; Corynebacteriaceae.